Non-coding RNA from Cervus elaphus (red deer), 474 nucleotides. Lineage: Eukaryota; Metazoa; Chordata; Mammalia; Artiodactyla; Cervidae. The record is from the annotation of a RefSeq genome assembly.
AUGGACAAGAUGCUGGAAGCAUCAUUCUUAAUUCUGUGUCUUCAAGUAGACUCAGGGGUGAGUGGACAACAGAAGGAAAAAAGUGACCAAGAGCAGGUGAAACAGAGCCCUCAAUCUUUGACAGUUCAGGAAGGAGAGAUUUCCAUUCUGAACUGUAAUUAUGAGAAGAGUGCAUUUGAUUACUUCCUGUGGUACCAGCAAUACCCUGGUAAAGGGCCUGCAUUCCUGAUAGCCAUAUGUUCAGCUGUGAAUAAAAUGGAAGAGGGAAGACUCACAGUUUCCCUCAAUGAGAGUGCCAAACCGCUCACAUUGCACAUCGCAACUUCCCAGCCUGGAGACUCAGCCGCAUACUUCUGUGCAGCAAGUGCACGGUGCUCCCCAGGCACCUGCAGCCUGUGCCCAGACCUGCAGCCGAGGCCCCAGACACACCCUGAAGUGCAGGUGAAAUACACACAUAUACAUGCUUGUGCAUAA